This 23-nucleotide ribosomal RNA is filed under the name Exophiala sideris. Its description in RNAcentral is "partial 28S ribosomal RNA". The record is from RNAcentral. Lineage: Eukaryota; Fungi; Ascomycota; Eurotiomycetes; Chaetothyriales; Herpotrichiellaceae.
GGUGACCUCGAUCAGUAGAGCCA